UCUCAGUGAUGUCAAAAUUGAUGACGAGUCUGAUAUCCAUUCUUAACCUUGAUGUUAACUGAGGCAUUUGUCUGAGAGGA
RNAcentral lists this small nucleolar RNA (80 nucleotides) under Macleaya cordata. RNAcentral describes it as "Plant small nucleolar RNA SNOR75". It matches the Rfam family "Plant small nucleolar RNA SNOR75". Rfam says of the family: U15 is a member of the C/D class of snoRNA which contain the C (UGAUGA) and D (CUGA) box motifs. Lineage: Eukaryota; Viridiplantae; Streptophyta; Magnoliopsida; Ranunculales; Papaveraceae. The record is from Rfam by way of RNAcentral.